Azospirillum brasilense is the source of this 160-nucleotide non-coding RNA. Lineage: Bacteria; Pseudomonadati; Pseudomonadota; Alphaproteobacteria; Rhodospirillales; Azospirillaceae. The record is from Rfam.
AGGUCGCUGCCUGGUUCGUCAGGUCGCAAUAAUCCCCAGGGCCGAUAAUCUUAGACUCUCGGGAGCUGUCCCUGUCCGGACCCUGGUCCGGGUACACGGCGCCCACCUGCUCUGCAGGUCAUGGAGGAUAAGCAAUGCCAACGGCCAAGGCGGCACCUUC